This 528-nucleotide ribosomal RNA is filed under the name uncultured bacterium. RNAcentral's name for it is "bacterial SSU rRNA". It matches the Rfam family "Bacterial small subunit ribosomal RNA", at positions 777 to 1304 of the family's 1533-position model. The record is from RNAcentral.
AAUAGAUACCCUGGUAGUCCACGCCGUAAACGAUGAGUGCUAAGUGUUAGGGGUUUCCGCCCCUUAGUGCUGCAGCUAACGCAUUAAGCACUCCGCCUGGGGAGUACGGUCGCAAGACUGAAACUCAAAGGAAUUGACGGGGGCCCGCACAAGCGGUGGAGCAUGUGGUUUAAUUCGAAGCAACGCGAAGAACCUUACCAGGUCUUGACAUCCCGCUGACCGCUAUGGAGACAUAGUUUUCCCUUCGGGGACAGCGGUGACAGGUGGUGCAUGGUUGUCGUCAGCUCGUGUCGUGAGAUGUUGGGUUAAGUCCCGCAACGAGCGCAACCCUUGUUCUUAGUUGCCAUCAUUAAGUUGGGCACUCUAAGGAGACUGCCGGUGAUAAACCGGAGGAAGGUGGGGAUGACGUCAAAUCAUCAUGCCCCUUAUGACCUGGGCUACACACGUGCUACAAUGGACGGUACAAACGGUUGCGAAGUCGCGAGAUGGAGCUAAUCCGAUAAAACCGUUCUCAGUUCGGAUUGUAGG